RNAcentral lists this ribosomal RNA (341 nucleotides) under uncultured soil bacterium. Its description in RNAcentral is "bacterial SSU rRNA". It matches the Rfam family "Bacterial small subunit ribosomal RNA", at positions 26 to 377 of the family's 1533-position model. The record is from RNAcentral.
AGAUUGAACGCUGGCGGCAUGCCUAACACAUGCAAGUCGAACGGGAGUAGCAAUACUCUAGUGGCGGACGGGUGAGGAAUACGUAGGAAUUUGCCCUUAAGUGGGGGAUAACCCGGGGAAACCCGGAUUAAUACCGCAUGACCUCGAAAGAGCAAAGUGGGGGAUCGCAAGACCUCACGCUUUUGGAGAAGCCUACGUCGGAUUAGCUAGUUGGUGAGGUAAUGGCUCACCAAGGCGACGAUCCGUAACUGGUCUGAGAGGAUGAUCAGUCACACCGGACUGAGACACGGUCCGGACUCCGUACGGGAGGCAGCAGGUGGGGAAUAGUUGGACAAGUGGGG